GGGAUAAAUGUAAUUUGAUGUCUUUACUGAAUGCUUUCAUGGGUCUUAAAAGAUAUUUUAAUAGACCUAAAAGUCUAUUUAUAAACUAUCCCUUUUAGAGAUCAGAAAACAUAUUCACUUCUGUAUUCUGUGUACCUAUUUAAGUUGUGUCCAAAUUUAAAGUUGUUCAUAACUUAUUAACUCAGCACCUUUUCUGAAUGCUCCUUCCCAUGUAGUCUUUAUUUACAGGAUCCUGUGCUGUUUGCCCUAGUAUCAUUCUGCCUCCUGCAUGAUGUUCUUUCACAUUUUGGACUCAAAUUCCCUUCUAACAUGGUGGGCAAAGGAGUCAGCCAUGCAAGAAAUUAGAAGCAAAGACUACACUAUGUUACUGAAUGCAAACCUGUUACCAGCACAAAUCUAGGUCCCUUUGGCAGGAGGGAAACCAACCUUGCACCAGCAGCAGAGUGUUUGCUGGCCUGUGGGUUAGAAACACCGUGUCACUGCAAAUCCAGUUAGACAAGUGUGCGCCUGCCUCCCUGACCUCUUCCACUUGGCAGUCUUUUCUUUGCAUUUUUGUCUGAGAGGCUGAUGUGGGAGUGAAUAAUGGAAACCAAACUGCCCCUCCAGCCCUCAAGCUGGUCCCAGUACAUCCUGGUGCACAUGCAUUGGCUGGGUGAGGUGAAGGAGAGAUUUCAUCAUUGCGGCAUAUGGGUAAGUAGAGUCCAGUGCAAUCAGCCGAGUAUUUUUCACCAGCAUGAAAUGAAAAUGAGGAGAACAUUUGAUGUAAAGGCUGUCUGUGGCUAUGCAAUGGGCAGGUGAUCAUACCUACUUUUGCUGCAGCAGAGAAGGCAGUGUAACAGCUCUCUGGAGCGAGUAUCCCAGGAGAGCAUCUAUUUUCUUGGGGCUGGGGGCUCAGAUGUAGCCCUGGGCCAGAGACAGUACAUCCAUGCAGGAUUUCCAGCUUCUGUUUGAAAGUCUGGGUGACCUUCAGCAUUCCUGCUAUGCCUGUGCAAGCAAAGCUCCCCACUCUGAACUUUCUUUGGUUCGCACACCACUAGUAAGAGGGAAGAUGUUGUAGGUAAAGCAUCGAGAAAUGGGUGCAAAGGAGAAAGGGUCUGUGACUCUGCCACCAAGUUCUUGUGCAAAUCAUUUCUCACAUCUGUGCAUCCAUUUCCAAUCUGUGAUGUGAAAAUAGCAGUACUUCAUCUCACCCAUGCGCUGUUGUCCUAAAUUAUAAAAUCUUCCAAGGAAAAACUGCUUAUUCCCAGGUUAAUAUACAGAGUCUAGCCCCACAGGGCACUUUUUCCCCUACCUGUUUCCUCAUGUUGUGUCUGGGCUUUGCAAUGACUGUCAUGAGGGGUAAACCAUGACAUCUUUGUGUUACGUGCAUUUGUGUCCAGCCUCGAAACGUUAUUUCAUUCCCUGAGGUGUGCGCUGUUAUCAGGCGAAUGAAAUGUCCCAGUCCCCUGGUAAUUAUUCAUUAGGUAAGAUUUAAUGUGUGUGUGCGUGCAGGGCUGGCAGCUACAAGUGGAUCCCACAGGAGAGGUCUGUGAGCCAAGCUUAUGUCAGCUUUAGUGUAGGGAUGGGUGAGUAACUGGAGUAAAAAUAACAAAAUGGUAAGAUCAGUAGCAGUUUGCCCAAAACUUAACCCAAAACCUUUUCUUUUCAUCCCAUGGCCAAACUCACCAUUCAGAUCAGAAGGCUAUGAGACUUGGGGUGGAUUUGCACGCACAUUUAGAACAAAUCACAGAUCUGCACUGCAGCAAAGCAAUGUUUGGGACCCAAAUCCAGCUGCCACCUGUGACUGUUCAUUCUACCCAUACUUCACUGAGGUCUGAAAGAUGUAUUUAGCUGCUUGUGUUUCUUAUACACUUGUUCCCUGUUUGGUACCAGGAUUACUGUUUUCCUGUUCAGAAGACUGCCUCUGCAAUAUUUCUUGGCUGAGUAAGGGUGGCAGCCUUAGUUGCACCAGUUUUGACCAGAGAGCAUCUGGAAGUCCAGGUGAAUAUAGGCACAAGCUAACGAAAAGCAUGCAAACACACGGUGGACAUUAUACCAAAGAAAUCGAGUGGAAAGAUAUUACUUGGCUGACAGAUAAGAGUGGGGGAUUGAUGAGACACACAAAUCUCAGACAAAACCCUGUUCCUCUGGGAGUUCAGGCCUAAGACUGGACUGGUCGAUGUCCAGCUGUCCUAAGCUGCUUGAUGUAAGAACUUGACACUGGUGGGAUAGACUGGACUUCGAGGCUUAUUUAAAAAGAGUCUGAUACAUUACAGGUGUGGAAGAGAGCUGCUUGGGAGCUGUGGGAAGCAAACCUCUUCUUGCAGGCUCCAGCAGCAGAGACAUUUGGAAGGGGAAGAGCACUGGUGACAUUACAGCUCUCGGGGCUCUGGAAAUUCUGCCUGUUUAGCUUUUCUUGGUUUCCACCAUCUUCUGUUCUGUCUCUGUUGUUCACCCACAUAAUUACGUAAGAUAUUACCAGCUAAAACUGCAUCUGCCGCCUUAAUAGAUGGCUCAUUAUCUAGGGAGGGAAACAGAAAGGGCAAAAGCUUUUAUGUGCCAACAGCACAUGUUGAUGUUCAUGUGCACUACAGGAGAAGGAAAGGGUGUAACUCGUCUGUCCUAAUUUAUGGCCAGAUGGGCUGAAAGAGUCAAGGUGUAAUGAAGGUCAGUGUGGCUGGGAAUGGGGUAGAGGCAGUGCAAAGUUACUCUCUUGACAAAAAAGCAAUUAAUUCUCCAACAAAGUCCCUCUUUCGUGCAGCAGAACAGAGUGAAGCAGUUCUUGCUGUAUUUAAAAGUACUCCCACAGCUUUGAUCUUUUCCUCUUUUCUGGAAAUGUAAGCUUGUAAAGAGGGUCUGGCCUCUUCUGGGAUGAUGUAUUGGGCCAUGUGGUGCUGGCCUUGCAAAGCAGCGUAGGCAAGCCUGCUGUUCUCUGUACUGUGUCAUUCUGGAAAAGUCUCCUAAUAUUCUGGUUGCUGCAGUAAUGGCAACACACUGCUGCAAUGCCCGGGUACCCUGCCUGCUUGGAAAUACCAUGACAUCACUCCUUCUCCUAACAAUGUUUUUUUGUCCAGGUUUGGCCACACACAGGAUAGUUAGCUAUGAGUGAAAAUGAAAAAGCAAAUGAUAGAGAACAAGUUCUUCUACCAAAACUCCAUCUCCAAGGACCUUAAAAUGUGGAAGUGUGUAACCACACUAGCUUGCAAGCAACCCUUUAGCCCUGCAUACUCUUCAGUGUCAGAUAUAUCCCAUUCCAAUCAGUACAUUGUGGCAACCAUCUGUAGACAGGUUUUUCUUUUACUGAUGUUUAAAAUAAAUGCUUGUUUUGAACUCAGGACAGAGCUGUAUUGGCUCCAGGUAUCAGGCCUGGUUUCAGUAGAGCUUGUGGCAGAUAUGUACUGAUCUAACCAUAUGGUGGUGGGUUUUGUGCUGCUACCAAUGCUGGCAGGAGACCAAAAUGUUGCUGUGGGCUUCCCCAGCCAUAAAAAUCCAUGAAGUUUUGCAGCUGUAGUUUCAUUUCGUUUCACUGUCUGACUAAUCUUCUUCUUACUUGAUUUUCUUUUAUUUCCUCUAUAGGUUUCCCGCACAGAAAAUCUAAGAUUCCAAGUUGCAUUUUGAGAAAGUUUUAAAAUUAACUUCUCCAUUUAUGCGAGAUGACCGUGGGUUUUGGUAAUAAAAUGUGCCGGGGGCGGGGGCAGAGAAGACUUCUCAGUAGGGGGUGAAUGCUGACGACUUUAACAAAGUCACGGUGUAAUAUGCUGUUCUGCUGACUUCUGCCUUCUUUAAUUACCUUCUGAAUCCUGAGAAGCUGAACCGUGCCUCACCAGCUCAUUAUGUCCCCCGGGUUUGCUCUCCCCAACAAAUAGGUGCUUUCUCUGCAGUCUCUGGAGGCUCUUUGUUGCUGCUCUGAUACAUCAGAUGUGUUUGUUUUGCACAUUGAUGUUUGUGUUUUCCGCACUGCUUGUGUUUUCCAAUUCCUUGGAGCAGUGAGGAUGCUGCUGAAUUGUCAGAAUCGAGGUAGGAUGCUGACUUGAGGUUACUGUCAAUGGCCUCAUUAUGUUAACAAGGGAUAUUUUAAGAAACACAAAAGAUGUGGCAUUUACUUUCUUGGGAGAGGGAGGGGAGAGAGAGAGAAUGUGUGUGGAUGAAUGAACUUACACAGCACGUCACCCCACUGUUCAGUUAGAAAUGACUGACUGGCUCUCUCCACAUUGUUUGCUAGCCAGAGCAGCAAUGGCUUCUGAUUUGUAUUCCUGGGCUGCUCGCAGUGUGCUUGGCUCACCCACGCGUGCAAGGCAAUGCGACCUUUCUUCCUGAAGAGUUCCUCAUCUCUGUCCUGGGGUGUCUGGGUACCUGAAAUGGGCACAGCCUUAACAGGCACAGCAACGGGACGUGCAGCAUCACAGCAUCUUCGUGCAGAUUUACAAGAUCACAAAGCAGUUGCCUUCUCAUGUGUGGAAUAUCAGCAAACCCUCCUCCACAAAACUGAAAAUAUUUUUAAUAAUAAAAUGAGGGGUGAGAUUUUUCAAGCUUGCCUGGGGGAACAGAACAACUCAUCCCCCUACGAUGAAAAAGGACUGGAUCUCUGCAUUGCCUGGGCAGCCCUGCUUGCGACAUCAUAGCUGGAACUUCUUAGUCUGUCACAUGCCAAGAAGUGACAGCAGCAGAGGACCUCUGUUGUGAAUGCUGGCCAUGCACAGAUAGAAAAGGAUCUGUUUCAAAAACAAAGACCUCCUGGGCUGUACUUCUGUGGGUGUCUGACUGCAGUUUUGUUCAAAUAUAAGUCAAUCACCUUAGUUAACAGCUCUACCCAAGAGGCAGCUGUAGGACUGAUCCAUAAUAGGACUUCAUAAUGCAUUGCAAGCAUUGUUUUACUGCAGGUUUUAUUACACAUGGAGUAUUCGCAUCACAUCAGCUUCCCAUGGCAUGAGGUGUUUAUCUCCUGGGUGAGGAUUAGCACAGCGCUGUACCGUGAAGUCUAGUAUAGCUGAGUAAGUGGUUUAGCAUAAUCCUCCUGAGAAGGAUUGCUGUCCUGAAGGGAUUCUUGGGAAGGCUCUAUGCCUGUACCAGGCUUUUAGAUGACUUACUUUCAGUCAGGUUUUCAAGGGGGCUUUUUGGAGUUUGUGCAGCUUUUCUGUGAUGCAGUCUGUCUCCAAGACAUCUGGGCAGUGGUUGGGUCAGCAAAGACCAUCACAAAGCUUAAAGACGAUUGGUGUUGCUGUGUGAAGAAGACCCCACUGACUCAUCAGAUGAUCAAAGUAUGACUCUGACAAAUGGGCACGCCAGGACAGAAUUCAAACAGGGUCCUGCCUGGACAGUUGUGUUUGCUCUUGAUGUCUGGCAUAUAUAGAUGUUGAUCGCCAACAUACUAUUGUUUUGCAUUAAGACACUUUUGGAACAGCAAAUCAUGCUCAGCACUGCUCUAGGAGUGCUCUGCAGUAGCCGGAUAAGAGUGCUGCCACUGCAUGGUCCAGGCACUUGGAAAUCUGUUUCCUAGUGUUUAGAAUAAAGAGCAAACAGGAGCUCCUCAAAGUCACAGCAAUUUGCAUCCUAUAUCCUCUCUUCUUAUUUUGUUAUUAGCCACUUGGUGAGAUUUUCUGGUCUGGGUUAUGUAGGAAAUUUGGUCCCAGUUCACACAUCUCAAGUGCAGAAGAGACCUUUGAAUUAAAGUUACUAAACAAACUUUUCCAACAGGAAAAGAAACCAAGCAAUACCACUCUGUGUUAGAGUGACAUUUCUAGACUAAGAAGGUCAUACACAAUGACAAAAGAGAAUGUCCUAUACAAUAACAAAACAGAAAUGAUGGUAGCUACAACAGAAGCCUUGAUAGUGAGGGAGAUUUUAAGCAGUCCAGAUACAAAGCAUAUCCUUGGGGGCCUGGCAAGGAUGCAAACUUCUCUCCCACACAACCUCAGUCACUCUUGAAAAGCCAAGUUCCGCAAUUUUAAAAGGCAAAAAUAUUACAGCAACAGCGACAACAAACAUGAAAAGCAGAUGUUAAGUGAUUACUAAUGAUCUUAUCAAUGUGUUGUAUAAUUGGGAGGGAGAGGAGGGAGAAAGAAGCACUCAACAUUCUCAAGUUUAUUUUUUAAUUAUUCAACUAUUAUCGAUGGGACUAAAGCAAACUAACACCAGGGGUUUGCAGAGAGGUUUCAACUUUAUAAUGGAGAAGGCAUUGUGGUGUUUGGGGGAGGAGGGCAAAUGGACUCCUGCAGUACAAAAGAAGCCAAAGUAAGAAUCAAAUACCAAGAUGUGUGGAAGGAUAGGGCUUUUGCCUGGACAGCUAAUUGUAGCUUGUUUUUUCAGAACCCGAAUGCCUGGAGACACCUACAACAGAUUGAAAUGUGUAUUGGUGGGCAUCCCAGCGUGGUACUCAUGGGGUGGUCUCACACCCACGCUGUCCCGCUAGCGGUGCUCCAGUGCAGGCACUUGCCAUGUGCUUUGCUGGGGCAAGCAGA
Molecule: long non-coding RNA, 6437 nt
Organism: Harpia harpyja (harpy eagle)
Lineage: Eukaryota; Metazoa; Chordata; Aves; Accipitriformes; Accipitridae
Exons: 2
Source: RefSeq, a predicted model, not a curated record